This 501-nucleotide ribosomal RNA is filed under the name uncultured Glomus. Its description in RNAcentral is "SSU rRNA". It matches the Rfam family "Eukaryotic small subunit ribosomal RNA", at positions 569 to 1074 of the family's 1831-position model. The record is from RNAcentral. Lineage: Eukaryota; Fungi; Glomeromycota; Glomeromycetes; Glomerales; Glomeraceae.
AGCAGCCGCGGUAAUUCCAGCUCCAAUAGCGUAUAUUAAAGUUGUUGCAGUUAAAAAGCUCGUAGUUGAAUUUCGGGAUCAAGUCGUCGGUCGUGCUCAGGUACGUACUGGCGUCAUUGAUUUCUCCCUUCUGACGAACCAUGAUGUCAUUAACUUGGUGUCAUGGGAAAUCAGGACUGUUACUUUGAAAAAAUUAGAGUGUUUAAAGCAGGCUCACGCUUGAAUACAUUAGCAUGGAAUAAUGAAAUAGGACGUUCGAUCCUAUUUUGUUGGUUUUAGGAUCAACGUAAUGAUUAAUAGGGAUAGUUGGGGGCAUUAGUAUUCAAUUGUCAGAGGUGAAAUUCUUGGAUUUAUUGAAGACUAACUACUGUGAAAGCAUUUGCCAAGGAUGUUUUCAUUAAUCAAGAACGAAAGUUAGGGGAUCGAAGACGAUCAGAUACCGUCGUAGUCUUAACCAUAAACUAUGCCGACUAGGGAUCGGAUGAUGUUAAUUUUUAAUGA